Non-coding RNA from Ictidomys tridecemlineatus (thirteen-lined ground squirrel), 279 nucleotides. NCBI's taxonomy places the organism in Eukaryota, Metazoa, Chordata, Mammalia, Rodentia, Sciuridae. The record is from RefSeq and is a predicted model, not a curated record.
AUUUUCUGUAUGAAUUUUAGAGGCAUUAUUCCAUCAGCUUUUAGCUUCCUAUGUUGCUAAUAUAAAAUUAGAAGCCAUUCCAGUGCCUGUAAUUUUGAGCCAUUUGAAUUCUUCAUUUAUGUCAAAUAUUAUUUGAUAUUUCAGUAAAUUACUACCAGGUUCUUCAUAUACAGAAGACCCCUGUGAUCUAUUUAAAAAGUAUAUAUGUAGCACCAGUGACUUCAAAUCGGCUCAAGGGCACCCUUUUAAAAGCAAACACAAAACAAAACAACAAAACAA